CCCGCACAAGCGGUGGAUGAUGUGGAUUAAUUCGAUGCAACGCGAAAAACCUUACCUACCCUUGACAUGUCUAGAAUUUUGAAGAGAUUCAAAAGUGCUCGCAAGAGAACUAGAACACAGGUGCUGCAUGGCUGUCGUCAGCUCGUGUCGUGAGAUGUUGGGUUAAGUCCCGCAACGAGCGCAACCCUUAUCAUUAGUUGCUACGCAAGGGCACUCUAAUGAGACUGCCGGUGACAAACCGGAGGAAGGUGGGGAUGACGUCAAGUCCUCAUGGCCCUUAUGGGUAGGGCUUCACACGUCAUACAAUGGUCGGGACAGAGGGUUGCCAACCCGCGAGGGGGAGCUAAUCUCAUAAACCCGAUCGUAGUCCGGAUCGUAGUCUGCAACUCGACUACGUGAAGUCGGAAUCGCUAGUAAUCGCGGAUCAGCAUGUCGCGGUGAAUACGUUCUCGGGUCUUGUACACACCGCCCGUCACACCAUGGGAGUGGGUUUUACCAGAAGUAGUUAGCCUAACCGUAAGGAGGGCGAUUACCACGGUAGGAUUCAUGACUGGGGUGGAGUCGUAACAAGGUAGCCGUAUCGGAAGGUGCGGCUGGAUCACCUCCU
This 607-nucleotide ribosomal RNA is filed under the name Candidatus Kinetoplastidibacterium kentomonadis. RNAcentral describes it as "bacterial SSU rRNA". It matches the Rfam family "Bacterial small subunit ribosomal RNA", at positions 920 to 1531 of the family's 1533-position model. The record is from RNAcentral. Lineage: Bacteria; Pseudomonadati; Pseudomonadota; Betaproteobacteria.